This 27-nucleotide non-coding RNA is filed under the name Cricetulus griseus (Chinese hamster). Lineage: Eukaryota; Metazoa; Chordata; Mammalia; Rodentia; Cricetidae. The record is from RNAcentral.
AAUUACAUUGUGCUUAUAGACCCCAAA